RNAcentral lists this ribosomal RNA (484 nucleotides) under uncultured bacterium. Its description in RNAcentral is "partial 16S ribosomal RNA". It matches the Rfam family "Bacterial small subunit ribosomal RNA", at positions 29 to 523 of the family's 1533-position model. The record is from RNAcentral.
AGUGAACGCUGGCGGCGUGCUUAACACAUGCAAGUCGAACGAGAACGGAUUAUAGCUUGCUAUAAUUGUCAGCUAAGUGGCGCACGGGUGAGUAAUGUAUAGGUAAUAUGCCUUUUACUAAGGAAUAACAAAUGGAAACGUUUGCUAAUACCUUAUACUCCUUAUUAACCUAAGUUAAUAAGGGAAAGAUUUAUUGGUAAGAGAUUAGCCUGUAUUGUAUCAGUUAGUUGGUGGGGUAAUGGCUUACCAUGACUAUGACACAUAACUGGUUUGAGAGGAUGAUCAGUCACACUGGAACUGAGACACGGUCCAGACUCCUACGGGAGGCAGCAGUGGGGAAUAUUGCACAAUGGACGAAAGUCUGAUGCAGCAACGCCGCGUGGAGGAUGACACAUUUCGGUGCGUAAACUCCUUUUAUAUGAGAAGAUAAUGACGGUAUUAUAUGAAUAAGCACCGGCUAACUCCGUGCCAGCCGCCGCAGUAA